GCUCCAGUGGCGUAAUCGGUUAGCGCGCGGUACUUAUAAUGCCGAGGUUGUGAGUUCGAGCCUCACCUGGAGCA
Molecule: non-coding RNA, 74 nt
Organism: Pseudoliparis swirei
Lineage: Eukaryota; Metazoa; Chordata; Actinopteri; Perciformes; Liparidae
Source: the annotation of a RefSeq genome assembly